AUGUGCCGGUACCUCGGCGAUGAGCGAUGGAGUGAAGGCGAGCUUGGUGAGCUGGCACGCUUGCUAGAGCUUCGGUUUGCUGCUGUGAGCUUUUCCUUGGCUCAUGCCCGAAUGCGUGUGACAUAUGCGCUGGCUUCCACGCUUGAGGCUUCCAUGAGGUACAAGUGUGCAACAUCGAACAAGCCCUGGAAAAUGGUGCCACGAGGCCUAUGCAGAAAACCUAUAAGGGACAGGCAGUUGUACUGCCGAUGCAUUUCAAAGGGGAAGCAACAUAAUGUCAGUUACCCCCUCCGAUCCAUAUUACUUGUCUUAGAUUUGUCAGUUACAAGACAGGGAAAGUAG
RNAcentral lists this ribosomal RNA (342 nucleotides) under Triticum aestivum (bread wheat). Its description in RNAcentral is "partial small subunit ribosomal RNA". Lineage: Eukaryota; Viridiplantae; Streptophyta; Magnoliopsida; Poales; Poaceae. The record is from RNAcentral.